GACGAACGCUGGCGGCGUGCUUAACACAUGCAAGUCGAACGGAAAGGCCCUGCUUUUGUGGGGUGCUCGAGUGGCGAACGGGUGAGUAACACGUGAGUAACCUGCCCUUGACUUUGGGAUAACUUCAGGAAACUGGGGCUAAUACCGGAUAGGAGCCCCUGCUGCAUGGUGGGGGUUGGAAAGUUUCGGCGGUUGGGGAUGGACUCGCGGCUUAUCAGCUUGUUGGUGGGGUAGUGGCUUACCAAGGCUUUGACGGGUAGCCGGCCUGAGAGGGUGACCGGCCACAUUGGGACUGAGAUACGGCCCAGACUCCUACGGAAGGCAGCAGUGGGGAAUAUUGCACAAUGGGCGGAAGCCUGAUGCAGCAACGCCGCGUGCGGGAUGACGGCCUUCGGGUUGUAAACCGCUUUCGCCUGUGACGAAGCGUGAGUGACGGUAAUGGGUAAAGAAGCACCGGCUAACUACGUG
Molecule: ribosomal RNA, 468 nt
Filed under: uncultured bacterium
Lineage: Bacteria
Description: partial 16S ribosomal RNA
Rfam family: Bacterial small subunit ribosomal RNA
Source: RNAcentral